This 233-nucleotide ribosomal RNA is filed under the name uncultured bacterium. RNAcentral describes it as "partial 16S ribosomal RNA". It matches the Rfam family "Bacterial small subunit ribosomal RNA", at positions 103 to 334 of the family's 1533-position model. The record is from RNAcentral.
CGGGUGAGUAACGCGUGAGGAACCUGCCUCAAAGAGGGGGACAACAGUUGGAAACGACUGCUAAUACCGCAUAAGCCCACGGCUCGGCAUCGAGCAGAGGGAAAAGGAGCAAUCCGCUUUGAGAUGGCCUCGCGUCCGAUUAGCUAGUUGGUGAGGUAACGGCCCACCAAGGCGACGAUCGAUAGCCGGACUGAGAGGUUGAACGGCCACAUUGGGACUGAGACACGGCCCAG